RNA transcript from Hemicordylus capensis (graceful crag lizard), 8293 nucleotides. It is a transcript of the gene named sodium channel epithelial 1 subunit delta, with no coding region annotated. Lineage: Eukaryota; Metazoa; Chordata; Lepidosauria; Squamata; Cordylidae. The record is from RefSeq and is a predicted model, not a curated record. The transcript has 15 exons.
CAGCGGGGAAGCGCCGAGGCUGCAUUGAGGCCUGGUCGUUUGCAAAAAGGCAAAGCUGCAGAGAGAGUACCAGCCAUUUAUGGUUCCUACUUAGCAUGCCACACUCCCUGCCUGCCCCACAAGAGCAGAAAAACUCCAGUUUGCAAAAGCAGCUGGCUCCUGCAUUGAUGUGGGGGGAAAGAUGACCGUCUCUGAGCAAACACAGAAGUCCUCCAGGUUGCAAAAGGAAGGAACUGGCUUCUAGUUUGAACUAUGGAGAAAAGGGAUGGAGCCUGUGCAACCUGAGCGCCUCCCGUUUAUAAAGCCUCUGGUUAUAUGUGAAGAAAGAGGCUAGGUGUCUCUGAGCAUGUGCAGAGUGCCUUCCCUUUGUGAAAUGAGCCAAUUUCUUGGACACGUUGCUGGCUUCAUGGGCAAAAGGCAAUGGAGUCUCUGCUCAUAUUCAGAGUGCCCCGUGGAUGACACUAGUUUUGGUUUUAUGCAGGAAAGGACAAGGUGUCUCUGUGUGAGGUGACUGCCCUAUGUUAAAGGAACGUGGGAAGCUGAGUCAGAACACUGGUCCAUCUAGCUCAGUUUUGUCUGCACAGACUGGCAGCGGCUUCUCCGAGGUUGCAGGCAGGAGUCUCUCUGAGCCGUUUCGUGGAGAUGCUGCCAGAGAGGGAACUUUGGACCUUCUGCGUGCAAGCAGGCAGGUGCUCUUCCCAGAGCGGCCCCAUCCCCUAAGGGGAUAGCUUACAAUGCUCACAUGUAGUCUCCCAUUCGAAUGCAAACCAGGGUGGACCUUGCUUAGCAAAGGGAACAAAAACCCCUCCUGUAUUCUACCGAAGACAACCACAGGGCUUUGUGGUCUCCAGGAGUCGACACCGACUCAACAGCACACUUGACCAGAAGACCAGCUCUCCUCUGGCCUUAUAGCAAGACCUGAGAAGGAGCUGACUUCCUGAUUUUUUUUAAAAAUAGUUAAAAACAACAACUAUGGGAAACACCUCUAUCGGGCAGCAGCGAUAUAGGAAGAUUCUGAAAAGCAUCAUCUCAUACUGCGCGGGAGAUGGCAAUGGUCAACCCCUCCUGUAUUCUACCAAAGACAACCACAGGGCUCUGUGGGCGCCACAAGUCGACACCGACUCAACGGCGGAACUUUACCUUUAGAGGAGCAUGUGUAGAGUGUCAGCUAUGUGAAAGGAGUUGGUUUCUUCCUAUUUUCUUGCAGAUUUACACACAUGCACACCAAUGGUGUCCACACACCCCCCCGUUUACUUUCCCCUGUAUAAGUAAAUGUAUGCCACUCACUCCUAUGUGGAAAUUUGCAACAAAGCAUGACCAUUUGUAUGCAGUAAGGACAAAACCAAUGUUACACCUUUUACUCUGUGUGUCUCUCUGUGUGUGCGAUCUGACAGACGCACGCACACUGGAAAAGAAUGUGCAUUGCACAACGUCCUCCGCCCCUUUAAGUGCUUUCUCCCCAAACAUUUCACCAGUCAUGAUGGACCUUUUGCUAGGCUUGAAACCACAGCAACAUGUGUAGAAGGAUCACAUUUCAGAAUGGGAACUUUGAGAUCUGCUAAUCUAACCUACUGCGCUCAGUGCAGGAAUUUUUUUAAUGAUGAUGAGGGUGAUGAUGAUGAUGAUGAUAAACAACUUUAUUGGUUAGCUGUCCCAUUACAAAUUGUUCUCUUUGCAGCUGACAACACAACAUCAAAACAUGAGAUUAAAAUACACAACAAAUUAAAUCAUAACAGACCAAAAAGAGGGGAGUGGGAUACAAAAUACAAUUCAAAACAAUUUAGGGAGGGGGGGCUUUAACCCUUUAUAGUUUUUAAACGAUCAGUUAAAAUCAGAUCAAAAUUUAAAAUUUUUAAUAUUUUAUAUAAUUUAAUAAAAUGGUGUUAAAGGCCAAAUAACACCUUCCUUUAAACAGCAAACACUAUUUUUUCUUUCUUAACUAGCAUACGCGGGGGCCUUCAGGCCUGCUCAACUUAAGGCCUCAUUAAUUUCUGUAUGUAAACCGCUUUGGGAACUUUGGUUGAAAAGCGGUAUAUAAAAACUCGUCAUAUUCAUAUUUUGAAAAGAGCUGUGAGCCUUACAGAUGGAUAACUGGAGUGCCCGUGGAUAAAUACUGGCAGACAUGGGGUGACCUGCAGAUAUGUUGGUGUUUAAAAAUUCUGAAGGAAAAAGCCCCUAAGGGGGUUAAAAAAAACCCUAACUGCCUCCAUAUUAGUCAAUGGGACAGAAUGUUUGGGGGACUCAGAGGGCAGUUAACAGACAAGCAGUUGGAUGGAGGGAAUGGAACUCUAGGGCAAAAAGAGGAGGAGGACUUGAACAAAGAGAGUGGCACAUGUAUCAGCUUGAAGAACACUCCUUCAGGACAGGGAACUCUGAGGGGGAAAGGAGAGUAAAACUCUUGUUUUCUCACUUGCUGUUUCGCAGCAUUGUGUUUCUCAGGGGAAAGGGGUCCUGAUUACAAAAAAAACCCUGGUGAAUAAAAUAAAAGUUGCAUAUGAAAUUAGACCCAAGUUAGAGGAGCAACUCCUCUUUUUGUUGCCAAUUUUUCUUUUUUCACCAGGUGCAGGUAACACUUGCGCACCAGGAAUCUGCUGCAAGGUUGCGUUGUAGGCCCAUCCUUGUAACAUAUAAUUAAUUAAGGAUUUAUUAUUAUUGUUUCUUUUCAGCAGGGUGGGACUCGACGGCUCUUCUGGCAACUCCUGUAGCACAAAUCCACCCCUGACAACACCCCAGGGUUUCACAUGCUCUGCCUACACAGAAUUCUCCCGCACUUUUGAUUCCCUUGGCAUUCAACCUUGUCUCUUACGCUGGGGUCGGCGUGGCCGUCCGCAUCAAACCUCUGGAUACCCCCACGGCGAUCCAGCGUAGCAUCCUCACCAUCCCAGCUCUGCGGUUUCUGAAUGCGUCCAGAGGCUGCCGUUCAGGAUCUACUCACCCCUCCGGUAUUUUAAUCUAAACACGGGCGACAGCAUGUUAUUAGACAAACUCGCCUUGCAGAAAAGGGUUUCAGCACCUCGCCUGACUUGUUGCUCUAAUAUGCAAAUGAAAUGCCGUGCGGGAAGAUCCAGAAGACAAUUCCUAAUCUCCAUGGUGGCUGUGUCAGGGAUGGAUGUAUCCUGUCAAGGAAAGGUCAGAGGUCUUCCAGUUCUCAUCCCAGGGGAUUCGACCCAGGUGUGGUGGGCUCUCCGGUAGCCCACGCUAAAGGUUAUGGCGACGAUGGAGUGCGAAGGGGUGAGCGAGAAAGAGAAGGAAGAAGUAACGGAGGAGGUUCCGGAGGAAGACAAAGCUCUGAUCGAGUUCUACAGCUCCUUCAAAGACCUCUUUGAGUUCUUCUGCCUCAACACCACCAUCCACGGCACCAUUCGCCUGGUCUGCUCCAGCCGCAACAAGAUGAAGACGGCCUUCUGGACCCUCCUCUUCCUCGCCAGCUUUGGCAUGCUCUACUGGCAAUUUGGCAGCAUCUUUAACCAGUUCUGGUGUUACGGGGUGGCCAUGUCCAUUUCCGUCCACUCCGAACCCAAGAUGUUCCCCGCCAUCACCCUCUGCAAUCUCAACCCUCAUAGGGUUGGAGAAGUCGAGAAAAGUAUUAUGGAGUUGGACAAUCUGGCAAAAGAGACACUGAAGAGUUUAUACAAUUUCGACCUUCCAGAGUAUGUCCUGGGAGACGAGGAGAACUGGUCAACAGCAAACGCGAGUGGAAUCAACGGCUCCAGCUUCCAACUGGAUCGCAGCAUCGCUCUGGUGAAGCAGCCCUAUGGCGAAGUUGGGUUUCGGCUGUGCAACGCUACCGGUGGAGAAUGCUACAACAAGAACUACUACUCUGGGGUAGACGCCGUCAAUGAGUGGUACCGUUUCCACUACAUGAACAUCAUGUCCCAGGUCCCACCCAUGUUCAACUUCGCCAGCGCCGAUGAUCACAUCAAUGAAGUGGUCUUCGCUUGCCAGUACAACGGAGGACCCUGCCGAAUCAAUGACACUGAACACUUCCAUCACCCCAUCUAUGGAAGCUGCUACACAUUUAACAGUAAUGGGACAGAUUACUUCUGGAGUGCCCUCAAGCCAGGGAUUCUAUACGGGCUAUCCCUUAUCCUAAAAGUGGAGCAGAAGGACUACAUACCCUUGCUGUCCACCCAGGCAGGCAUCAAGGUGAUGAUCCACAACCACAAUCAAACUCCGUUCUUGGAGCAUGAAGGUUUCGAUAUCCGGCCGGGAGUUGAAAGCACCAUAGGGAUCAAACAGGACAAGGUGAAUCGCUUAGGGGGUAAUUAUGGAGACUGCACACAUGACGGGACGGACGUGGACGUCAAACUAAUCUACAAAAGCAAUUACACAUUGCAGGCAUGUCUGUAUUCCUGCUUCCAGCAGAUGAUGAUUGACAAGUGUGGAUGUGGAUAUUAUUACUAUCCUCUGCCUGACGGGGCGGAAUACUGCAACUAUAACAAGCAUCCGGCUUGGGGUCACUGCUUCUAUUUGCUGUAUGACAAGCUUGCUGACCAUGACCUCCCGUGUUUCAGCCUGUGUCCCAAGCCAUGCACGGAGACAGUGUACACACUUUCGGCAGGAUACGCCAAGUGGCCCUCAGAAAGAUCGGAGAAUUGGAUCUACGCAGCUUUGCAAGCCCAGAACAACUACAGCACAAUCAGCAACAAGAGCGACAUUGCCAAAGUGAACAUUUUCUACAAGCAGUUGGACUACAACUCUUGGGACGAAUCGCCUGACUAUCCCGUUUCUCUCGCCAUGUCCAACAUGGGCAGCCAGUGGAGUCUCUGGUUUGGCUCGUCCGUGCUGUCGGUGAUCGAGGUCUUUGAGUUUGCCCUAGAUGUUGCCAUCUUGUCCCUUAUCUACUUCUACAAGCGGUUGCGGGCCAAGAAGCACCGGAUCAACCACCUCCCUCCGGUCCCAAGCGUAAGCUUGACUCUGGAGAAAUACCGCUACAUGGAGGAGGGCCUGACCCGGAGCCCUAACACGGCGAAACCUUAUGCCCAAGAAGCCAGCGACAACCAAAGAAACGGACUUCCUCCCUACCCAAAAGAUAACAAGUGCCGAUUUCCGGAAUUAUACUCAGCAGGCGUGGUGCUCAAUGGCUUUAAGCAUCGAAAUGACCACUCUGCAGACACAGACACCAAUAGGUAAUGCUGUCUCCUCCAGACAAGAGAGAUACCUUCAGAACGCCAGUUUCGACCUCCAGAAGUGCACAAUACACCGUUCCUGAGAACUAUCCCUUUCAGGAAGGCUUGUGGCCAGUAGAGGAAGUUGCAACCUUUGACCCUGGAAGCAGCCAGAGGUUCGGGGCUGAUGGGAUUGGCAUCAGAGAGGAGACAAUGGUCUCUUGCUUUCCCCAUCCCCUUCUUCAGACUGCCCCAUGACGAGUGGCUAGACUAGAUGGCACCAACGCAUGGAAGGUUAAGGAGUCCGUGACAAAUCUGCCUGAUGUUCAGGUCUUGGGACGAAUCGCCUGACUAUCCCGUUUCUCUCGCCAUGUCCAACAUGGGCAGCCAGUGGAGUCUCUGGUUUGGCUCGUCCGUGCUGUCGGUGAUCGAGGUCUUUGAGUUUGCCCUAGAUGUUGCCAUCUUGUCCCUUAUCUACUUCUACAAGCGGUUGCGGGCCAAGAAGCACCGGAUCAACCACCUCCCUCCGGUCCCAAGCGUAAGCUUGACUCUGGAGAAAUACCGCUACAUGGAGGAGGGCCUGACCCGGAGCCCUAACACGGCGAAACCUUAUGCCCAAGAAGCCAGCGACAACCAAAGAAACGGACUUCCUCCCUACCCAAAAGAUAACAAGUGCCGAUUUCCGGAAUUAUACUCAGCAGGCGUGGUGCUCAAUGGCUUUAAGCAUCGAAAUGACCACUCUGCAGACACAGACACCAAUAGGUAAUGCUGUCUCCUCCAGACAAGAGAGAUACCUUCAGAACGCCAGUUUCGACCUCCAGAAGUGCACAAUACACCGUUCCUGAGAACUAUCCCUUUCAGGAAGGCUUGUGGCCAGUAGAGGAAGUUGCAACCUUUGACCCUGGAAGCAGCCAGAGGUUCGGGGCUGAUGGGAUUGGCAUCAGAGAGGAGACAAUGGUCUCUUGCUUUCCCCAUCCCCUUCUUCAGACUGCCCCAUGACGAGUGGCUAGACUAGAUGGCACCAACGCAUGGAAGGUUAAGGAGUCCGUGACAAGUUGAGUGACGAAGGCCAUAUUGCUGGAACUCUUCCAGGCUCAGGAUCCUAGAGUGUGCUUUGGAGGGUAGCAGGUCCAUUGACGGUGGCCGCUCUAGCCACAGUCCUCUAUGGUUUCAGUCUGGGGAGGCUGUGUUGGUUGCCGCGGCCUGGGUAGAAGAGGCUCGGGGCUUCUCAUGACCAGAGAUUUGGGGAAGGAGGGCUCUCCUCUCCACCACCCUCAGUUAAAAGCUGGGUUCGAAAACUGGGUAUCCCUGCCGGGAGUGACUUCUGCUGGGGGGGGUCAUGUGAGAGUUCUGACAAUAAGGGCAAUCUGAGUAGGCCCCAUCCCACCAGGAUUUUUAAUGCUCGUGUGAACCAGCCUAUUAUCUGAUUAGUUCCUGGAUCAACUUGAAAAUCUCUUCUCAAUAUAUUUGUCAUUCUAUGGUUAGAUCUGCCUGAUGUUCAGGUCCCUUAACCUGUGAUUUCUUUUCAAGCGUUAUGCAAUCUUCUCUCUUGAGAACUCCGAAGGUGCUACUUUGGGGGUGGUGGGGGGGAGGGAUUUCAGUAGAAGUACCUGGCUGCAGUCCAGCCCCCUAUAAAAGGCGUGAUCUCAGCUUCCUGUUCAAGCUCUCACGGGGAAACCAGAUUCAGCUGGGCAUCUCCCGGCUUGGGCCGGCAUCAUUUCACCGUCGUCCCUGAGUUAAAUGUUAAACCGCCCACACAUUAAAGAAUGUACCCAAGUGGACAUUUAUGAGGAUAUGUUCUGUCUGUUAACGGCUCCGCUGGGAUCCCAGGAGGAUGCAGUGACAUUUGACCAUUCUAAUUGCCGUCUCACAUUGAAAAUACCUUUUCUGUUUGGAUAGCCGUCAUUUUAUACUUGAAAUCACCCGUUUAAAAAAAGCGCAGAUCAAGGACCAUAUUUUUUUAAAAACUGUUUGUGUUCUUCCUUUUACAAUGCAAAGUUCAGGGGUGUUUUAUGGGAUGUUCUCCAGGCAGGAGAGGCAAAACAGGAGCCAGAACGCAGGACUGGCCCGAGAUAUUCAGUGCCCUCUCCAUCCCCAGCACAGCAUCCCUCCAGUGGCUGUUGCUGGUGUCUAUCCUAUGUUCCUUUUUUAAGAUUGUGAACCGUUUAGGGACAGGGGGCCAUCUUAUUUAUUUAUUUAUUUAUAUCGAUGCCGACCGCUUCAGGAACUUUGGUUGAAAAGCAGUAUACGAACAUUCGUAUAUACUGAAUAUUCAUAUUUGAAUAUUCGUUUCAGAAUACGCGAAUAUUCACACACACGAAUAUUCGUAUACAAGAGUACGUAUUUGUAUAUGUAUUCCGAUAUUCGUAUUUGUGUUCUGCCUUUCCCCACGACUCUGGAGGGGGAUCGCCUGUUCAGAAACAACUCUUGUGAGCUCUGAAAGGGGCACAGGGGGCAGAGAGGAGGGAAGGUUGGUGAUGGUGGGGGAACAUUUUGCCACCCUGCUGGUGCUCCAGGAAUCUGCCAACCGAGGAGACUGCCUCACCUUGCCUCAUGAAAGGGCCACUCCUGUAAGUGAGGUAUGAGAGACAGAAUGAGUGGCAAAGUCUCCGAAUGCAAGUUCAUUUGGGUGGUGUCAACUGAGGCCCCAACGUCACCCCCUCCAAGUACCAAAGAGAACAAGGGUGUGCAAUGGUGUCCCCUUUAUCAGGGAUUCCCAGAUGGUGUUGACUGCAACUCCCAUCAUCCCCUGCUGCUGUGACUUUUGGCAGGGGGUGAUGGGCACCUGGGAAUCCCUGUGACUGGUGUGCAAUCUACUGACAUUCAACAUUAUAGGGCUCUUUAAAACCCUUUGUUUAUUAAUGUUCUUGUUCUUCUUCUUGUUAUUAAUAUUUAUAUACCACUUUUUAGCAAAAUGAAAUGUUCUCAAAGUGGUUUCUGCAGAAAACGAUGAUGCAUAUGGAUGCAUUGGUAAUGUGAAUAUUUGACUGUAAUUUAUUCCGGAUGCAUGCACGUACGAGCGAGAGAAGGAAGUUGGGAAAUGACUUCUGUGUGACAUUCAAUAAUGGAUUUUUCUUUUAUUGUAUUGUUUUUUCCUCCCUUGCCCUCGUUUUGAGAAUGCAAUCAAGCAACUUGCACUACAUAUUUUGUAAUCUUCCGAUCGUAAAAUGCCAUGGAUACCUUUU